AAAGGAAUGCAUUCGCAAUCCAAAGAAGAGAAGCAUCUAAAUGCUUCCUACACAGUUACAGUUUCUUACUCAGAUCUUGUUACAAGUGGUGAAAGUGAAGAUUCAGAUCUUCCAAGUUCCAAUUACAGCGAACGUUUUCCCUUGGUCGCCCUCUCUUCUUGAUAAUAAGGAGUUUAUGCAAUGAAAACUGCUAAGACUCUACAUGGAUAAAUGGGUAAAGUGAUUCUUAUAUGACUUGAACAAUAUUCCCCCUAAAAGUGCCUUUUAGGAUUGGAAAUAGGCCAUGUCCAUUUUAACUAACAUCAUGGAACAGAUUCUCACAUUGGAUUUGCACAUGUACUGAUAUCGGAAUAAUAAAUCAAGUAUGAAUUCUCAGCAUAAGAAAGAGACAGACAGCUAUCCUUUUAUUAGACAAGAAUUGCACAUUGAACCAGGUAAAAGAAGGCACAACGAUUCGGUCGUUUGUGUUGAGUAAAAGAAUUUAUAGAGCAGAGUUACCACCUACCCUGCAGUUGCUUCUAUAACUAGUCAGACUUCUUCAAUAGACUCAAUAGCACACCUGCACUAAGACUCGUUGCUACAAAACCAAGAGAGACCUCAGUUGAUACAUGAAUCCCAAAGAAAUCCAGGAUCAUCUUACAACCAAUGAAGCCUAGAACAACAGCAAUCGAAGGCUGAGAAAGGGGAAGAAAGCAAGCCAAAAAGGUCAAUUGUAAAUUUACAAUUCUCAGUAUACAGUACUAAGCACAUCAACAUUAUUACUAGACGGAUGGUAAACAGAUCAACUGUUAUUCAACUUUGGAUCCAGUACUUAAACUCCAUUAAAACUACUUGAGACUUUAUCUUUUCUUAGUUAUUGUUGGAGUUCAAAUAAAGAAAAUGCCGUCACAUGCUUCCUGUCUUCUUCUGAUCUCUUACUUGGAUAAAUGCAUUUAGUCAUAUGUGUGAUUUGGCCACACCAACUUUUGAGAGGCUAUACUACACUUGGAUCCCAACACCAGAUAAUAGUGCAAGUAUCUGAUAAUAAUUACAAAUUGUGUAAUCAGUGUACAAGCACUAUUAUGAUAUCCAUUUUAUCAAUUGUAUAACACCUACAUUUAUAUUGAUUCAUUUCAUGAUGGUACAAGAAUAAGAAGUGCACCACGAUCACAAUGAUUCGGCUCAAACAUAAGAUUAUGAGGCAGAAGUCAUGCAACAAGAAUAGGAAAUUAAGGUAAAUUAAACCUUUUACCUGUAAAUACUCUAACUCUGCCAUACCUUCAGAAAUAAGCGUAUAAAGCGACCUUAAACCUACAUUCAAUAGAGAUGAGACCAAUUAGCCUCUAUUAAUAUUAAAUCCAACUCCACAACAAAUCUCUAUAAUGCAAUUGCAAAUACAUUUCUAACUCAAUUACAAAGUAGCUCAGAUGUAGAAUCAAAAUUGUAAAACAAAAGUAUUUUUAAAUUUAAUGAUGUGGAACCAAAAUGCAGGCCAAAAUUUAUAGUUCACAAGUUGGCACUGGCAGCCCAAAACCAAUUCCAAAUAUGCAAUUAACACCUUUGAGCCUAUGGUAAGGAUAAAACAAUAUUUACCUAAGAUGGCAAAGAGAUUAGAAGUAAAAACAAUGAAAGGAUCCCGCGUAACACCAAAGACAGCUGGUAUUGAAUCGAACUAAAAAACGAAGAAUGAAUCAAUGCUCUAUUAAAAAAAUCAAACGCAUAAAUUUAUGUACUUUUAUAAUUUAUAUACAUCACAUUGAUGAAGACGAGAAAACCUACAGCAAAUGCUAUAUCACUGAGCUCAAUAACUGCUACUGUGAGAAGCAAAGGUGUGGCCUGCAAUGCUGGUAUACUGGAUUUAUGAUGCAAUAAUAAUACUUAUAAAGGCCAGAGUAACAUGUUGAACAGUUAACAACGUCUGAUGAAUGGCUUACUUUCCACACACCAUCCUGAUUUGUUAUGAAACGAUUCCCAUCAUAAUUAGAUGUAACAGGGAUGUAUCUCCGGCAUGUCUUCACUACAAAGUUGUUGGAUAAGUCAGUGUCAUCAUCUUCACUGACAAAUAGCUAGAAUAAAGUAGAGAAGGUUAUAAUUCACCAUUUAAGCAAUCAAAACAGCAGAAAUAAUCACAUGCAAAAAUAAUAACAUUAACAAUAAUAACAAUAGCAGAAGCAGCAGUAAUUGCUGCUGAUAUGAACUGUCACAAAAUAAUAGAUUUAAGAACUAAAAAUGUUGGAAUAGGUAAAUCAAUCUCCCCAUCCCUUCUUUAUUUUGGGGUGGCAGCUUUGAAAGGCAAAUGAAGGUCGCAUCCAGGCUCAAGCUGCGACUUGAUACCUGUCUUUGCAGUGCAAUCCAACAAAACCAGCUCAAGUAAGUGGUUUACAUAUUCUUAAUCUUUUGAUGUGUCAUAUGAAAUCUAACUGCACAAACAUGUCAAAUGAAGGCCGCAUCCAGGCUCAAGCUGCAACUUGAUACCUUGAAAGAUGAGUACAAGAGUAUUACAGCCAGGAAUAAGUUGACAGCCUCAAACCUCUAUAAAAACAAGGCAGAAAAUUUUCAGAAAGUGCCGAAACAAACAGUAAAUAUUAAACAGAUAAAAUUAUGAACUCUCCUACCUGCAGAGUAGCUGUUCCAAGUAGUAUCAGUGACAAACGAAAGACGAUUGCACUGGCAAUACCAUAUGAAAGUACCCGAUUCUGAUACAUGAGUGGCACUUUAAAAUAUUUGAAAAUCAGUACAAAGACAAAUAGGUUGUCCACUGACAAACUUUGCUCCAAUAUAUACCUGAAAUAAUCAAUGAUGGUCAUUAUGGAGGAAACAGUGAAGCUUAAAAAUAAUUUCAGAAAAAAACUAGCAAAUUCAAUGCAGGAUUUCAGACAGACAAGCCAAAGACAAAACAAUAUGGAUAAUGAACCUAUUCUUGGAAAAACAAAUGCUGAAAUCUGGAACUAUGUGCAAUGUCAGACAGCCAGAGUGCCUACUCUUUUUGGUCAUAACCAUAAGACCUAAAGCCAUAGAUUAGGCGCCAAACUGGUGUAGUUUCUCAACUGAUUUUACCCAACAACGAACACAAAAAGAAACAAUGCUGGAGAGGGAGGAGGAGGGGGGGAGGAGGAGGGAACAACUUCAACACCUCAGCAGUCCACCAUACCGAUCAUAAAUUAUAGUAACUGUGUAUUUCCAGAGACAGAAAGCCUAUUUGGACUAACAAUGAAAAGAAACAGAAAGUGGACAAGGCUCAUAUUUAUAGCAAAAGACCACCCUAAACUUACUCUCUAAUUAGUUUGGGAAGCUAAUAUAUUCUCCUUGUUCUUUAAUGAAAAUGAAAAGUGGUUAACAAAAAGAAAUAUGUGGAAAUGCGAAACUAGAAGCUGCAAGAAAGCAUAAAUCCAGUCCAGUUGCAUAUAUGGAUAAAUUCUUCCAUAACAAUAUCAGGAAAUGAUGCCAAGUUAGAUUGCUUGAUAUAAAUAUAUAAACUUGCAAAUAAUAAUAGUACAACAACGUAAAUGAAGAAAGUUUCUCUGUGUUGACAAAAUACAUAUAUAAAAGAACACAAUUGAAGGAUAACUUUCACAGUGUAAAAUUCAGCAUACCCAGCAAAAAACUCUGAUGCUUUGCCAACUCCAUCUUUCAAACCAAUACCAAUGCCAAAUGCCACAGCAGUGCAAACCUAUGGAAUCAAUGAGCAUAAAGCAACAGUUUUAAUAGAGGUUGUAUAAUUUCCAUGGUCCUGAGUUUUCUCCCCUGAUUUUUUAUCCACAUAAAGGGAAGCUUCAUCAUUCGUCCGAGAACUGCCGCCCUCAGAUUCUGAGGUAGAUAAAUCAGCCUCCUGUUCAGCGCCUCUAGAACAAGCAAUUGGAUAAUAUUGAUCACGAAAUAUGUGAGUAACAGAAUAGGAGGGAGGGAAGUGAAUUCUGGUCCAUUUGAGAGCUUGAGCUGUCGCUGAGAAUGGCGGAACCCUAACAGAAUCGAAUUUAAGAGGAGUAUGAAAACCAUUGUGGAUGACGGAAGCCAGUCCCAUAGAUUUGAGGAAUGAGAAAUGAGAUUUGUGUAGGAGUAAAUGAAAAUUCGAAGAAGGAAGAUGGAAGGAAAGCGAGAGGCUUUAAUCUUAUCCUAAGAGCUCUGGUUCGACGAGUAGCAGUUUACAGUCGCAGACCAACUAUAGCGCUCGUAAUUUUUU
Molecule: unclassified non-coding RNA, 4159 nt
Filed under: Hevea brasiliensis (rubber tree)
Lineage: Eukaryota; Viridiplantae; Streptophyta; Magnoliopsida; Malpighiales; Euphorbiaceae
Source: RNAcentral